CAAAUCAGUCUAUCGCUGUUUUGAGUUAUCGAAAGAGAGGAAAGUCCGGGCAGUGCAGAGCAUCGUACUUCCUAACGGGAAGGUCUUACAGGUUUAAGCUUGUGGGAACAGAAAGUGCCGCAGAAAGGCAAACUACCCAGACCAGUUCGCCUGGUAUGGGAAAAGGUGAAAAGGUGGAGUAAGAGCCCACCGCGUUGUUGGUGACAAGAACGGCAAGGCAAACCUUACGAACUGAAAGACCAAAUAUACCGAGGCUUGAGGGUUGCUCGCCCAAUCUCGGAGGGUAGGUUGAUUGAUGCUAAUGGUGACAUUAGUACUAGAGAAAUGAUAGACAACGGAGCUGCUUGCAGCAAAGGAUACAGAACCCGGCUUAUGAUUUG
Molecule: RNase P RNA, 380 nt
Filed under: Crocinitomicaceae bacterium
Lineage: Bacteria; Pseudomonadati; Bacteroidota; Flavobacteriia; Flavobacteriales; Crocinitomicaceae
Description: RNase P RNA component class A
Rfam family: Bacterial RNase P class A
About the family: Ribonuclease P (RNase P) is a ubiquitous endoribonuclease, found in archaea, bacteria and eukarya as well as chloroplasts and mitochondria. Its best characterised activity is the generation of mature 5'-ends of tRNAs by cleaving the 5'-leader elements of precursor-tRNAs. Cellular RNase Ps are ribonucleoproteins.
Source: RNAcentral